Molecule: non-coding RNA, 1990 nt
Organism: Kogia breviceps (pygmy sperm whale)
Lineage: Eukaryota; Metazoa; Chordata; Mammalia; Artiodactyla; Physeteridae
Source: RefSeq, a predicted model, not a curated record
UAUCUGUACAUUCUUCAGAAACAGAAAACGCUCACUUCCCCCACCUCAAAAGGAAACCACCACAACCCAAUCUAUUAUUGCAUGUAGUUCAAAGCCCAUGACAUCUGAGUAUAGUCCCCUCCAUCAGGUUAGGAUGUGGUUUUUUUAUGUUCUGGUCAUCUGCAAACUAAAAAAGCAACAUGUCUGCCCCCUGAGCACCAUAUGCAUAAUGGGAUAGAUACAGGAUAACUGCAAUAAAAUCAACCUUUUAGAAAAGGGAAAAACAGGAAACGGAGCAGUCAUCUUUCCCUAACAAUUAAAAAAAUACUGCUUGGCAAAAAUAGCAAGGUCUCUCUGCUCUGUCCAUAAAUAUAUUCUUUGGUUUUUCUAUUAGGCAACCCCUGCUUCACCUUUCUGGGAGGAACUCCCUUGUCUAAUGUCCUCAGGGGUCCUUGGCAUUUCGCUCUAGGGUGUUUUUAUUGCCCAUUAACCUUCAAGGACACAAGUGGACAUUGGGAAGUGUCCUCUUCUUGAAGGCUGGACAGUCUUGCACUUCACUUCCUGUUAUUGUGGGUUUGGGGCCUUGGGAUUGUUUCAGACAGUUACAGGCUGUUUCAGGCCAGGUUUAGGGUUCUUAUUUGUUUUUGUUUUGUUUUGCUUUUUGGCAAAACAAUUCCCUAAAAAGUUGUAAGUUUCUGGUCUGUUUUCUUCAGUUAUUACCAGGAGAAACCACAAAGAUCUUGUCAAGACAUAUUUAACAAAGAACCUCAUCUUUUACUUGCUGGCCUCUGUGUUUUUUUUUCCGGUUGGGUCUUAAAUGAAUGGUACCCACUUGGGAUUGUUUUAAACUAUAGGCUUGGAUGGGAUAACAGCAGUCUUAAUCUGAUCUUUUUCCUUAGGAUGGCUCCCAUUACUUGGCAGAAAAUUCUUAAGGGAAGGUUCUUGGAAAGGUUGUGAAAACUUUAGCACUUUCCUCAGAACCUUUACUUAUAACUGUUUCAGUUUGGAGUACGGUAGUACAGUAGUUGACUUUUUCAAUUCUUCAGGGCUCCAGAUUGGGGACUUUAUCAAUUUAUUUGGUAGAUAGAGAGCAGUUCUCUCGGCAAAGCUAUAUUGCCUUCCAUCUCUGCAGACUUGCUCACCUUAGCCCAAGCCACAUCUCUCCUGUAGGACUUUUCUGAAAGAGGAAAGGCACAGCCCACACAUGCUAGCAUUCUGAACUUCUACUACAAUUUUCUCUGAUACCUUAACCUCAGUUGGCAUGAAGUAUCACUGCCCCAAACCCUACCUUCUUAACUAAGCCAAUUCCAUUUUUCAGAUCCUUUUACUUGCUGCACCUUACUUCUAGCUACCAAAUUCUGUAUAGGUUAAGAUUCUUCAUUGUAAGUAACAGAAUCAUCUUCAGCUGCUAAACAGAAUGGAUUGAUGGGGGGGGCAGUGUAUAGAUAGCUCACAGAAUCUUUGAGAGGGCUGAAAGAACGGAACUUAGGCUGAGCUUCUAGGAACUGCAUCAUGAGACUGGGCUGCCAAAGAAGCUGCUGCUUUUGGAACAAUCAAGAAGCUUCAUGCUAAAUCAGGAAGCCACCUGCCAGAUUAGGAAGUCAUGAAGUUGCCAGCUCCAGAGCCACACCACCUCUGCCUUGCUUUGUGUCAGCAAAAAUGGAUAUUUCAUGUCCUGCUUCUCUCCCCACGUAACUCAGUUCUGAGUAAAAGUUUCAAAUAUUAAGAAGUCUUUGGUUUAGUUGACUUAGUGCUGUGCAAUAAAUCAAGAAGAAAUUGAUAAAGAGGCAGAGUUAGAUGAUGACCUUCAUCAUUUUCAUGCAAGAUUUUUGUCGCCUGAAAAAGCUGCUAGAGAAGAUCAUCUGUACCCUUAACCACUGGUGUCUCAACUUGAUACCUGAAUAAUUCAUUUGUUUUUUGUUGGAAUUGAGAAACUAAUGUGUAUUAGGUAAAAUGCAGAGUUCCUAUGGGUGAUACAAUGGAAGACUAAUUACAGCUUGUUUUCAAGGUA